Elaeis guineensis (African oil palm) is the source of this 2292-nucleotide non-coding RNA. The record is from RefSeq and is a predicted model, not a curated record. Lineage: Eukaryota; Viridiplantae; Streptophyta; Magnoliopsida; Arecales; Arecaceae.
AAGCAACAAAUGCCUCCCCCCGCGGUGGGUUUAGAUCUCUCCGUCCCCACUCCUACUUCCCCAGCCCUUCCCUCUCCCAACACCGAUACAAAGCCCUUAUUUUUCCCUCUCCGAGUCCUCUCCCCCAUGGACUCCUCCCAACGCAUGGACGAGGAGGAGAGCUCCCUUCUCCCUUCCCGCUCCACCAAUUCCAAUAACGAGGAAGACGACACCGAGGAGCGCGCCUACGACGCCCGUGAGAAGAUCGUCGUCCGGAUCUCCAACGACGACGCCGGCGACGUCCCGCCCUUCUCCUGGCGGAAGCUCUGGCUCUUCACCGGCCCCGGCUUCUUGAUGAGCAUUGCCUUCCUGGACCCAGGGAAUCUGGAAGGGGACCUCCAGGCCGGCGCCAUCGCCGGGUACUCGCUUCUGUGGUUGCUGUUCUGGGCCACGGCCAUGGGGCUUCUGAUCCAGAUGCUGUCGGCCAGGCUGGGGGUUGCGACGGGCAAGCACCUGGCGGAGCUCUGCCGGGAGGAGUAUCCCGGUUGGGCAAGGCUGGCGCUCUGGUUCAUGGCGGAGGUGGCGAUGAUUGGGGCUGAUAUACAGGAGGUUAUCGGAAGCGCUAUUGCUAUCAAGAUUCUGAGCCACGGAGUGCUGCCGCUUUGGGCUGGGGUCGUUAUCACCGCCAUGGAUUGCUUUAUUUUUCUGUUUCUUGAGAACUAUGGUGUGAGGAAGCUAGAAGCUGUUUUUGCAUUUCUCAUUGCAACGAUGGCCUUUUCCUUUGCUUGGAUGUUUGGUGAAACCAAGCCCAGUGGGAAGGAGCUUCUGAUUGGAGUAUUGGUUCCAAAACUAAGCUCAAAAACCAUAAGGCAGGCUGUUGGGGUUGUGGGCUGUGUCAUUAUGCCGCACAAUGUAUUUCUGCAUUCUGCUCUUGUACAAUCAAGAAAGAUUGAUCCUAACAAAGAAAACCAUGUUCGAGAAGCAUUAAAUUAUUAUUCCAUAGAGUCUACUGUGGCCCUGAUCAUCUCCUUCACAAUAAAUUUGUUUGUUACAACAGUUUUUGCAAAAGACUUUUAUGGUACUAAAGAAGCUAACAGUAUAGGUCUUGAGAAUGCUGGGCAGUUUCUACAAGAGAAGUAUGGUGGAGGGUUAUUUCCUAUUCUUUACAUCUGGGGAGUUGGGCUAUUGGCAGCUGGGCAGAGUAGUACGAUAACAGGCACCUAUGCUGGACAAUUUAUCAUGGGGGGAUUUCUGAAUCUUCGCUUGAAGAAAUGGAUCAGGGCAUUGAUUACUAGAAGCUUUGCAAUUGUGCCGACUAUCAUUGUUGCUUUAUUUUUUGACACGUCUGAUUCUGCAUUGGAUAUUUUAAAUGAGUGGCUCAAUGUGCUGCAAUCUGUUCAGAUCCCAUUUGCGCUUAUCCCACUCCUUACAUUGGUAUCAAGGGAGCAUGUUAUGGGAAUUUUUAGAAUUGGCCCUAUUAUUCAAAUGGUAACCUGGACUGUCACUGCUUUGCUAAUAAUAAUCAAUGGCUACCUCUUGCUGGAAUUCUUCUCUUCUGAAAUAGAUGGCCCAUUGCUUGGUUCUAUUGUGUGCAUUGCCAUAGUUGUAUAUGCAACAUUUAUAGUUUAUCUCAUUUUGCAUGGUGGUGAAUUAUCCACUCGGCUGGCAUCAGCAAUCCGCAAGAGCUUCUCAUGAGGAUUGAACUCAAAAGAGAAUUGAUUUUGCUCUACCAUGUCUGGAAGACACAGAAAAUAAGUUUGCAAUCCCAUAUCUGAGAGAUUGGAGAAAUGUUAUACAGUGAAGCUGCGGGAGUUCCAAGAGCUAUAUUGUGCGAUUGGUUUUUCUAUUGCAGAUCAGUCAGCUAAUCAGCCACAUCAUCAUCGAGUGUUUAUAAUAGGUUUACUGUACUCUGCCACUGUGCUGAAGAGGCCAGUGGUGUGGUCACAGAUGGUAUCAGGUGGCUUAUCCAAGCGUGGAGCUUGUUUCUCUGGUCGCCGGAUCAUUGAAGUGAAUACCAAGAAACAUAUAAAAACACAUCUGUAGGCAACUUGGGGCAGGCAAAGUUUCAAUUGCAACUCAUGAGAGAAGCAGCAGCAGACAGACUAAAUCAGGGAGGUUUUCUUUUAUUAAUCCACUGAAUUGUGUAAUGUGGUAGCAUCAGUCUAAUGUUAGAAAUUUGGCUGGCAUAUGUCUCUCUUAUAUAAAAUAGACCUACUGAAAUUACUGAAUAGAAGGGAGAAUAUCUGGAGCCCGGGUCAUCAUUUAACUGAAUACAAAUACAUGUGCUAAAAAAAAAAAACCAGAGAGAGAGAA